UUCGAUGGUAGGAUAGAGGCCUACCAGUGGUUUUAACGGGUAACGGGGAAUUAGGGUUCGAUUCCGGAAAGGGGAGCCUGAGAAACUGGUACCACAUCCAAGGAAGGCAGCAGGCGCGCAAAAUUACCCAAUCCCGAUACGGGAGGUAGUGACAAUAAAUAACAAUACAGGGCUUUCUAGUCUUGUAAUUUGGAAUGAGUACAAUUUAAAUCCCUUAACGAGGAACAA
RNAcentral lists this ribosomal RNA (228 nucleotides) under uncultured fungus. RNAcentral's name for it is "partial 18S small subunit ribosomal RNA". It matches the Rfam family "Eukaryotic small subunit ribosomal RNA", at positions 321 to 547 of the family's 1831-position model. Lineage: Eukaryota; Fungi. The record is from RNAcentral.